RNAcentral lists this ribosomal RNA (253 nucleotides) under uncultured bacterium. Its description in RNAcentral is "partial 16S ribosomal RNA". It matches the Rfam family "Bacterial small subunit ribosomal RNA", at positions 524 to 776 of the family's 1533-position model. The record is from RNAcentral.
UACGAAGGGGGCUAGCGUUGUUCGGAAUCACUGGGCGUAAAGGGCGCGUAGGCGGCCGAUCAAGUCGGGGGUGAAAGCCUGUGGCUUAACCACAGAAUGGCCUUCGAUACUGUUUGGCUUGAGACCGGAAGAGGUUAGUGGAACUGCGAGUGUAGAGGUGAAAUUCGUAGAUAUUCGCAAGAACACCAGUGGCGAAGGCGGCUGACUGGUCCGGUUCUGACGCUGAGGCGCGAAAGCGUGGGGAGCGAACAGG